Molecule: ribosomal RNA, 445 nt
Filed under: Microbacterium sp. K25
Lineage: Bacteria; Bacillati; Actinomycetota; Actinomycetes; Micrococcales; Microbacteriaceae
Description: bacterial SSU rRNA
Rfam family: Bacterial small subunit ribosomal RNA
Source: RNAcentral
CUCAAUGCGUCGAGGGUAGCCGGCCUGAGAGGGUGACCGGCCACACUGGGACUGAGACACGGCCCAGACUCCUACGGGAGGCAGCAGUGGGGAAUAUUGCACAAUGGGCGCAAGCCUGAUGCAGCAACGCCGCGUGAGGGAUGACGGCCUUCGGGUUGUAAACCUCUUUUAGCAGGGAAGAAGCGAAAGUGACGGUACCUGCAGAAAAAGCGCCGGCUAACUACGUGCCAGCAGCCGCGGUAAUACGUAGGGCGCAAGCGUUAUCCGGAAUUAUUGGGCGUAAAGAGCUCGUAGGCGGUUUGUCGCGUCUGCUGUGAAAUCCCGAGGCUCAACCUCGGGCCUGCAGUGGGUACGGGCAGACUAGAGUGCGGUAGGGGAGAUUGGAAUUCCUGGUGUAGCGGUGAAAUGCGCAGAUAUCAGGAGGAACACCGAUGGCGAAGGCAGA